GAUGAACGCUGGCGGCGUGCUUAACACAUGCAAGUCGAACGGAAAGGCUCCUGCUUGCAGGGGUACUCGAGUGGCGAACGGGUGAGUAACACGUGGGUGAUCUGCCCUGCACUUCGGGAUAAGCUUGGGAAACUGGGUCUAAUACCGGAUAGGACCGCAUUCUGGAUGGUGUGGUGGAAAGUUUUUUCGGUGUGGGAUGAGCUCGCGGCCUAUCAGCUUGUUGGUGGGGUAAUGGCCUACCAAGGCGUCGACGGGUAGCCGGCCUGAGAGGGUGUACGGCCACAUUGGGACUGAGAUACGGCCCAGACUCCUACGGGAGGCAGCAGUGGGGAAUAUUGCACAAUGGGCGCAAGCCUGAUGCAGCGACGCCGCGUGGGGGAUGACGGCCUUCGGGUUGUAAACUGCUUUCGCUAGGGACGAAGAGUAAUUGACGGUACCUGGAGAAGAAGCACCGGCUAACUACGUG
RNAcentral lists this ribosomal RNA (466 nucleotides) under uncultured bacterium. RNAcentral describes it as "partial 16S ribosomal RNA". It matches the Rfam family "Bacterial small subunit ribosomal RNA", at positions 28 to 507 of the family's 1533-position model. The record is from RNAcentral.